Molecule: unclassified non-coding RNA, 404 nt
Filed under: soil metagenome
Description: partial contains 5.8S ribosomal RNA, internal transcribed spacer 2, and large subunit ribosomal RNA
Rfam family: 5.8S ribosomal RNA (bases 1-122)
Source: RNAcentral
GAUGAAGAACGUAGCAAAAUGCGAUACUUGGUGUGAAUUGCAGAAUCCCGUGAACCAUCGAGUUUUUGAACGCAAGUUGCGCCCGAAGCCUUUUGGCCGAGGGCACGUCUGCCUGGGCGUCACGCAUCGCGUCGCCCCCCACAAUUCUCCGUAAAUGGAACGUGUGUUUUGGGGGCGGAUAUUGGUCUCCCGUGCUCAUGGCGCGGUUGGCCGAAAUAGGAGUCCCUUCGAUGGACGCACGAACUAGUGGUGGUCGUAAAAACCCUCGUCUUUUGUUUCGUGCCGUUAGUCGCGAGGGAAGCUCUUCAAAAACCCCAGCGCGUCGUCUCUUGACGGCGCUUCGACCGCGACCCCAGGUCAGGCGGGACUACCCGCUGAGUUUAAGCAUAUCAAUAAGCGGAGGA